UCCUACGGGAGGCAGCAGUGGGGAAUAUUGGACAAUGGGCGCAAGCCUGAUCCAGCAAUGCCGCGUGUGUGAAGAAGGCCUUCGGGUUGUAAAGCACUUUUAUCAGGAGCGAAAUACUACGGGCUAAUACCCUGUGGGGCUGACGGUACCUGAGGAAUAAGCACCGGCUAACUUCGUGCCAGCAGCCGCGGUAAUACGAAGGGUGCAAGCGUUAAUCGGAAUUACUGGGCGUAAAGCGUGCGUAGGCGGUGAGUUAAGUCUGCUGUGAAAUCCCCGGGCUCAACCUGGGAAUGGCAGUGGAUACUGGCUCGCUAGAGUGUGUCAGAGGAUGGUGGAAUUCCCGGUGUAGCGGUGAAAUGCGUAGAGAUUGGGAGGAACAUCAGUGGCGAAGGCGGCCAUCUGGGACAACACUGACGCUGAGGCACGAAAGCGUGGGGAGCAAACAGGAUUAGAUACCCUGGUAGUCCACGCCCUAAACGAUGCGAACUGGAUGUUGGUCUCAACUCGGAGAUCAGUGUCGAAGCUAACGCGUUAAGUUCGCCGCCUGGGGAGUACGGUCGCAAGACUGAAACUCAAAUGAAUUGACGGA
Molecule: ribosomal RNA, 589 nt
Filed under: uncultured bacterium
Lineage: Bacteria
Description: bacterial SSU rRNA
Rfam family: Bacterial small subunit ribosomal RNA
Source: RNAcentral